This is a long non-coding RNA of Dreissena polymorpha, 1063 nucleotides long. RefSeq lists it as uncharacterized. The transcript is spliced from 3 exons. The record is from RefSeq and is a predicted model, not a curated record. Lineage: Eukaryota; Metazoa; Mollusca; Bivalvia; Myida; Dreissenidae.
UUCAAAGGCAUAUUGGUUGACCGUGUAGCGUUAGUGUGCUACAUGAAGUCAGAAUUCAACGCCAGGAACUCCGUGAUCCAGUAACGCAACAAUAGCUAGUGCAUAAAGCAUGAACAUUCAAACAGAGCCCCAUUUCACCGACAUGGAAUGGCGGACAUUUUUACAGUUUGGACAGUGCAGCAGACACUUAAUUGAGGCAGCCUUCAUAUUUAGUACAAUCAUGAACAUAACAAGGUUUAUUACUUCAUAUUAUUCAUAAAAAUACACUAAAAAUACUUAAAUGCAUGUUUUUUGCCAUUUUAUAUCUAUUUUUUAUUGGGAAUUUUGACUUUUUCAGGUAGAGGAAUGUCUGCAACUAAGCCGAGGGCCACUGGAUAAGGGUUGUUGAUGGUAAAACAGGUAGAGGAAUGUCUGCAACUAAGCCGAGGGCCACUGGAUAAGGGUUGUUGAUGGUAAAACAGGUUAAAGACUACAUGAGACUUUGACAGAUGGCGGGAAACCCUCAUCCACUGGUACGAACCCGGUAAAUUGAUGGCUGUAAAACAGUGACCGCUGAUUCGCAUCGAGUUCUUUCUUGCAAAACGCAUGACCCCCCUUUUUUAUUGUCUAAAUCAUUGCGACUUGGAAUGCUCUUUAAGAAAAGGUAUGGUUAUGGGGGUCUCUAUGCGCAAAAGUUUGACUUUAUUUUUUGUUGAAGUUAUUGCUUUUACAUUGAAUUUGUGUAGGAAAUCUUUUGGUAUAUUGUAACCUAAACUAGCUUUAGGUAAAAAUGAAAUAUCAUCUGCAAGUGCAAAAUAUGACUGGGAAAGCUGAUUUUUGGUCAUUUCUUAACAAAAGAGAAGAAAAUAAGUGCCUUAAAUGCAUGAAUUCAGAUAAUUUGACCUGGAAUAGUUGUUUUUCAAGUUGACCCCCACCCUGAUAUAGCCAAAUAAGGGCUAAAUUGCUUUCUGACUUGAAUUCAAAGGCAUAUUGGUUGACCGUGUAGCGUUAGUGUGCUACAUGAAGUCAGAAUUCAACGCCAGGAACUCCGUGAUCCAGUAACGCAACAAUAGCUAGUGCAUAA